RNAcentral lists this ribosomal RNA (459 nucleotides) under uncultured bacterium. Its description in RNAcentral is "partial 16S ribosomal RNA". It matches the Rfam family "Bacterial small subunit ribosomal RNA", at positions 338 to 795 of the family's 1533-position model. The record is from RNAcentral.
CCUACGGGAGGCAGCAGUGAGGAAUAUUGGUCAAUGGCCGGAAGGCUGAACCAGCCAAGCCGCGUGAAGGACGAAGGUGCCAAGCAUUGUAAACUUCUUUUGUCAAGGGACAAAAUCAGGCUCGAGAGCCUGACCGAGGGUACUUGAAGAAAAAGCAUCGGCUAACUCCGUGCCAGCAGCCGCGGUAAUACGGAGGAUGCGAGCGUUAUCCGGAUUUAUUGGGUUUAAAGGGUGCGUAGGCGGGCUGUUAAGUCAGCGGUAAAAGCCCGGGGCUCAACCCCGGCGAGCCGUUGAAACUGGCUGUCUUGAGAUGUCGAGAGGUAUGCGGAAUGCGCAGUGUAGCGGUGAAAUGCUUAGAUAUGGCGCAGAACUCCGAUUGCGAAGGCAGCAUACUGGCGGCGAUCUGACGCUGAGGCACGAAAGCGUGGGUAUCGAACAGGAUUAGAUACCCCUGUAGUC